Molecule: ribosomal RNA, 557 nt
Filed under: uncultured bacterium
Lineage: Bacteria
Description: bacterial SSU rRNA
Rfam family: Bacterial small subunit ribosomal RNA
Source: RNAcentral
ACGGGUGAGUAACGCGUGGGAAUCUACCGUGCCCUGCGAAAUAGCUCCGGGAAACUGGAAUUAAUACCGCAUACGCCCUACGGGGGAAAGAUUUAUCGGGGUAUGAUGAGCCCGCGUUGGAUUAGCUAGUUGGUGGGGUAAAGGCCUACCAAGGCGACGAUCCAUAGCUGGUCUGAGAGGAUGAUCAGCCACAUUGGGACUGAGACACGGCCCAAACUCCUACGGGAGGCAGCAGUGGGGAAUAUUGGACAAUGGGCGCAAGCCUGAUCCAGCCAUGCCGCGUGAGUGAUGAAGGCCUUAGGGUUGUAAAGCUCUUUCACCGGAGAAGAUAAUGACGGUAUCCGGAGAAGAAGCCCCGGCUAACUUCGUGCCAGCAGCCGCGGUAAUACGAAGGGGGCUAGCGUUGUUCGGAAUUACUGGGCGUAAAGCGCACGUAGGCGGGUAUUUAAGUCAGGGGUGAAAUCCCAGAGCUCAACUCUGGAACUGCCUUUGAUACUGGGUAUCUUGAGUAUGGAAGAGGUAAGUGGAAUUCCGAGUGUAGAGGUGAAAUUCGUAGA